UCGAAGAUGAACCAUGCAGCACCUGAUCAAAGCAUGAGGAAAACCCAAGAAGCAUCUUCGGCUGGUGUAACAUAAGGGAGGUCUGAGCAUGGCGAAGAUGCUUCUUCUUCGGGUAUAAAAAGGGGGAGCUAAGUUUUCUUAAGAAAAUAGAGGAGAGCAUGAUUGAACGGAGGGUUUGCGAGGGAUUUUUGGAGUGUUCAGAGAAGCAAAAAGAGGAAGAAUUGCUGGGUUUUUUGCGGGAAAAACAGUAAGGUGAAAAAGGGCUGACCAAGGAUGCUACUGAGUUAAAAUGAUUGUUUUCUUUUUACUUUGUGUUCUUGUUUUUUAGAUCGCUUGUGAUAAUUAGGUGGAAGGAGCAAUAAGAUAAAGGAAAGGAAGAGGGAAGCUUCGACUAGCAGAGUUGCAGAGUGUAGGUAGCUUUAAUUUUAUUUUUUAAUCACCCUGUAAAGUCAUUUAGCAACUGAAUCUGAAAAUUUGAAUGGAAAUUUGACUGCUUUUCUUUAUAUUUGCUGUACUUGUUAAAAAUUCAUGAAUGAGUUUAGGUAUCAGGAUUUUUGUUGGGUGUAAUGGAUUACUUUGUUUGAAGUUUGAAACUUCGAUUUGAUUAAUGGGUAAUGGGUAUAAUGGCUAGUUUGCACUGUGCAUUUUAAUGAUAACUUAAUUAGGGAA
RNAcentral lists this long non-coding RNA (669 nucleotides) under Carica papaya (papaya). Its description in RNAcentral is "long non-coding RNA (CPAP_LNC013010)". The record is from RNAcentral. Lineage: Eukaryota; Viridiplantae; Streptophyta; Magnoliopsida; Brassicales; Caricaceae.